RNAcentral lists this unclassified non-coding RNA (3086 nucleotides) under Hevea brasiliensis (rubber tree). The record is from RNAcentral. Lineage: Eukaryota; Viridiplantae; Streptophyta; Magnoliopsida; Malpighiales; Euphorbiaceae.
GAACUUAUUUGACUUUAUUAAAACGUACAUGAAUUUAUUUGAUCCAAAACUUAAUUUUGGACUUAUUUUACCCUCUACUAAAAGCAUAAGGAUUUAUUUAGACUUUUUUCCAAUUAUCAAUAUCAGGUCAGUGACCAUGUACGAUAUACCAAAAAGCAAAGAGCAACUCAUUUGAAAGAGCAAAGGCAAAUUCCAGACUGCAUCUAACAGAGAGUUUUACACCUCCUGCAUAUGUUUAUUAUCUAUCAGCAGUCAGCAUCCUUCGUCUGCAUUUCCACCAUUGAAACAUCAAGCAAAAAUUUAUAUAUGCUUUCAGACAUUUUCUUGGAUAUUUAGGCCAGAAAAGCAAAUAUAUCAAUCUGAUGCAAAUAAGUGUUGUGGGUUUGGAGGCGACUGAGAAAGAUUUUGCAGUCAAGGACCUUGCUUACAAUGGCGCACUAUGCAUUCUUGUCUGCAACAUUCCAAAAACAAAAACGCUACAUUCAAUUAUCUCCCACUCUAUCCACUUACAAGCAAAAUACAAUAAAGGCAUUGGGCAGAAAAAUGUAUGUAUGGCUAGCCAUGAGAUUCUAUUAAAUUCUAUUAAGCUAACCUUUUGAUUGCAUUUGUUUUCUCAGAUCUUUAAGAGGGCCAUAAGUUGUCUCUUUAUUCUUCUCUUUGCUACAGCUACAACUACUAGUGUUCAAAUUUGCACCACACUUGAGGCACAGACCUUUGCAGCUUGGUUCACAUAUCGUAUCGAUGGUAAUUUCUACAUGUACUAAGUCUCUUAUUUGCUUUGAAAUAUCAACUUCCGUUUCUUCAGGAGGAAAGUGCAACCUGUCAUCCCAAUCAAUUGAUGCAUCAUCAUCAUCUUCUUCUUCCUCACCACUUGCCACAGAAGAUUUAAAUCUAUCUUCACCAAAGAUCACUCCCAUAUUGAUAAUCUCUGGUUCUUCAGUGGGUUUCUCGGUUAGUAAUAGAGAGAAGUUGGAAAAUAUGCUCUUGGCAGUUGGUUCACCGCACCUGUUGCAAUCUAGAGUGAUAACAGUCUUGACAAUCCCAUCAAGCCUCCACUUUUGCUUCUUCCUUGUCACAUCAAUGGAGAUCUGAACAGGAGUUCCAAGUGGAUAAUCCUUCACAGCUUUUGUGACACGUAAUCCCAUAAUUGAAGCCCUUGACUUUGAAAUCUCAGUUGAAAGUUUCUCUAGGCCCAGCCUCUCCAAGGUUGUACAGUACUCUAAAUGUGAAAUUGAAGGGUUUCUCUUGUAAAUUAAUGCACCAUUCCAUGGUGACCCUAUAUCUUCAGGGUCUUCUUGCUCUUGAUCUUCCCAAUCAAAAGAUACAUCAGUGAACAUCUGAUUGUUAGGGUCCAUGGAAUCUCUUGCAGUUAAGUUUUGAAUACUGCGUGAAUUGUUUCCAAAGAUUUUACAUAUAUCUCCCAUACUAACCCAUGAACAUUUGUAAUGAACAAUGGAAAACCUGGGAUUGGACAAAGAAUUCUUCUGAUAUACCAAAUUGUGCACCUUGAAUUUGUUAACAACUGAGUUUGGAGCUAUUGAGGAUGUGAAGAUUACAGAUGACAUCUUUGUUUCCUCAAGUCACCUAGGAGGAUUUGUGUAAGCUGUAUCAGAGAAGAGUCUAUUUCCCAGCAGUCUCAUCUAACUUACACCAAUUUGAAAACUCAAGAAUACUCGGUUUUUCAAGUAAUGGUAGGAAAAUUAAGUUGAUAAAGUUCUUUUGAGAAUAGUGCAAAGUAAAAGAAUAGAAACUAUGACAAUCUUUGGGUGUUGAAAAAAAAAGCUCAAGGACAACAGCAAUGCAAGUAUGCAACUUCAAGAUCAUAUAGGACAAUGCAACUCCAAGAUUAUAUAGGACAAGUCAUGCCAAAUCCAGAAGAAAUUCAGAUGGUAGCAACCAAAACCUGCAAAAACAUAGCUAUGUGUAGUUGUAAACUAAAAGUAACAAGAUAAAAACAACAUACUUUUCUACACGAUCAAUAAAACACGCUACCGACAGAUUUUUUUUUCUGCUGGAAAAAUUUUUUCCAAAACCAUUGUAUUGGCAUUUGAGGGAAUAACCAAAGGCAAGAAAACGAGUUUAAUCGAAUCCAGUGAUAUGAGGGAAGAAAACCACACAAAAAUAAUGCCAUCAUUGGUUUCUUAGCAGGUAAUUUUUACCCAUCCUCAACUUUGGCAGGUGUUUCACUUUCAUCCCCAUCUUCACUUUGUUACCUCAAAACCCCCAGCCUUCGUAAGUGUUACACUAAAAUUCCUGUAACUUCGAAAAUGUUACAAUAAAAUCCCUCUCAUCAUUUGGUCAAAUUUCCAAUAAGCAGUGUCACAUGUCCAAAAGUGUUGUAGGAGAACAGAGAUGAGUAAGGAUAACGGAAAGUAAAUCUGAUCUGUGUGACGAAAUUGUGGUAAAGGAGGUGUCAUGGAAUUUCUUUUUUAUUAUUAUUUUAUUUUUUUGACAGCAUAGCACUGCUACAUAAGCAUACCGACCCGAUUUUAGUGUAACGUUUUCAAAGUUUGGGGAUUUUAUUAGAACUAAAAUGAAAAUGAAAGACUAAAGUGAAACACUCUCAAAGUCAUUACCAAUUCUUCAGCAAUCAAACUCAAAGUUCAUAAGUAAGUUAAGUAAAAUUCAAAAAACAUAAAACUCAUAAUGGAAGUUCAUUCUUCUGGACUAAAACCCUGCAGCCCCAUUAGUUUGAGUCGAGCUAUUAUCUUGUAAGUUCAAACACGUAUCAAAAUUUCCAACAACACAGAAAAAAGGUAGAACAGUGAGAACCCAAUUCAAUCCCUAGUUCAUAAAGACCAAAUUGAAUACUAAAAUCACAAAUACGAAUCUAAAAUUAAUAGCAAUAACGAAAGAGAGAUUAUUUAAAGAGUUACCCUGAAGAAAGGAGCUUGAAAGAGGUUUAAUAACGACCCGUAUUGCAGUCCUUGAACUUUGCAUAAGUCUCUAGACUCUCCACGCUGCUCUGGGAGGCAGCCCUUUAACACCUAUUCCUCUUCCCGUUCAAGAGAUAAGAGGUCCACCGGAAGCAAGAACUCCAAUCAGCCCAUGGAUAAGAGGGAAAGACAGAAAACGGUAAUCGAUUU